Molecule: long non-coding RNA, 237 nt
Filed under: Setaria viridis
Lineage: Eukaryota; Viridiplantae; Streptophyta; Magnoliopsida; Poales; Poaceae
Description: long non-coding RNA (SVIR_LNC000163)
Source: RNAcentral
CGCCAGCAACGCCGCCAUGCAUGCACUCCCCGCAUGCUUUGCUUGCUCGGCCGCAGCAGCCCGCACUACGCGGCAACCGUCGACGCUGCCUGCCUUCGCGCAGUGAUCUUUUCCUCAAGGAAAGUUACAAACUUUCCCUCAUCGAUCCGGCCGAGAGGUGCAUGAUGCUACUGGCUGCAUGACAGCUUUUUUUCACCCUCCACUCAAAAAGGAGAUGCCACAUGCUUAACACCCUCG